RNAcentral lists this ribosomal RNA (699 nucleotides) under uncultured archaeon. RNAcentral's name for it is "bacterial SSU rRNA". It matches the Rfam family "Archaeal small subunit ribosomal RNA", at positions 102 to 801 of the family's 1478-position model. The record is from RNAcentral.
GGAUAAUCUACCCUUAGGACUGGGAUAACCCUGGGAAACUGGGGCUAAUACCGGAUAGGCAAUUUUUCCUGCAAUGGUUUUUUGUUUAAAUGUUUUUUCGCCUAAGGAUGAGUCUGCGGCCGAUUAGGUAGUUGGUUAGGUAAUGGCUUACCAAGCCGGUGAUCGGUACGGGUUGUGAGAGCAAGAGCCCGGAGAUGGAACCUGAGACAAGGUUCCAGGCCCUACGGGGUGCAGCAGGCGCGAAACCUCCGCAAUAUAAAAAAUCACAACAAAAAAAUCCCAAGUGCCAUUCUUAACGGAAUGGCUUUUCAUUAGUGUAAAGAGCUUUUGGAAUAAGAGCUGGGCAAGACCGGUGCCAGCCGCCGCGGUAACACCGGCAGCUCUAGUGGUAACAAUUUUUAUUGGGCCUAAAGCGUCCGUAGCCGGUUUAAUAAGUCUCUGGUGAAAUCCUGUAGCUUAACUGUGGGAAUUGCUGGAGAUACUAUUAGACUUGAGACCGGGAGAGGUUAGAGGUACUCCCAGGGUAGAGGUGAAAUUCUGUAAUCCUGGGAGGACCGCCUGUUGCGAAGGCGUCUAACUGGAACGGUUCUGACGGUGAGGGACGAAAGUUAGGGGCGCGAACCGGAUUAGAUACCCGGGUAGUCCUAACUGUAAACGAUGCGGACUUGGUGUUGGGGUGGCUUUGAGCUGCUCCAGUGC